Small nucleolar RNA from Humulus lupulus (European hop), 107 nucleotides. The record is from RefSeq and is a predicted model, not a curated record. NCBI's taxonomy places the organism in Eukaryota, Viridiplantae, Streptophyta, Magnoliopsida, Rosales, Cannabaceae.
AUGCCGUGAUGAGGAAAUUUUCUUAACAAUUAUUUAAACCUCUCCCAUGCAUCAUAUGAUGAUUCCCCGUUAGUCUGGAAGAAGUUAUUGCUCUCUCCUCUCAAUCU